GGGCUCUUAGCGCAGUUGGUAGCGCGUUCGCUUCGCAUGUCGCGAUCUCAAUGCGAAAGGUCGUUGGUUCGAUUCCUACAGAGUCCA
Molecule: non-coding RNA, 87 nt
Organism: Mycena haematopus
Lineage: Eukaryota; Fungi; Basidiomycota; Agaricomycetes; Agaricales; Mycenaceae
Source: the annotation of a GenBank genome assembly